AUUAAGUGAUACCAGGGAGAUGGAUGCAAUCAACCAAAUCCAGAAUGUGGGAGAAAAUGACAAGAAAGACCAACUAGCAACUGUGUACAACAAGACACCUCUGAAGAUUCCAGAACCCAGGAGUGGGGUUGAAGCAUACCCUUGGAUCACAGAAACCAGGAAAAACUGCAUUAGAAGGCAGGCAAAACUGAGGACUUCAGCCCGGGAC
This is a long non-coding RNA of Delphinapterus leucas (beluga whale), 208 nucleotides long. RefSeq lists it as uncharacterized. The record is from RefSeq and is a predicted model, not a curated record. Lineage: Eukaryota; Metazoa; Chordata; Mammalia; Artiodactyla; Monodontidae.